UGCAAGUCGAGCGGUAGAGAGAAGCUUGCUUCUCUUGAGAGCGGCGGACGGGUGAGUAAUGCCUAGGAAUCUGCCUGGUAGUGGGGGAUAACGUUCGGAAACGGACGCUAAUACCGCAUACGUCCUACGGGAGAAAGCAGGGGACCUUCGGGCCUUGCGCUAUCAGAUGAGCCUAGGUCGGAUUAGCUAGUUGGUGAGGUAAUGGCUCACCAAGGCGACGAUCCGUAACUGGUCUGAGAGGAUGAUCAGUCACACUGGAACUGAGACACGGUCCAGACUCCUACGGGAGGCAGCAGUGGGGAAUAUUGGACAAUGGGCGAAAGCCUGAUCCAGCCAUGCCGCGUGUGUGAAGAAGGUCUUCGGAUUGUAAAGCACUUUAAGUUGGGAGGAAGGGUUGUAGAUUAAUACUCUGCAAUUUUGACGUUACCGACAGAAUAAGCACCGGCUAACUCUGUGCCAGCAGCCGCGGUAAUACAGAGGGUGCAAGCGUUAAUCGGAAUUACUGGGCGUAAAGCGCGCGUAGGUGGUUUGUUAAGUUGGAUGUGAAAUCCCCGGGCUCAACCUGGGAACUGCAUUCAAAACUGACUGACUAGAGUAUGGUAGAGGGUGGUGGAAUUUCCUGUGUAGCGGUGAAAUGCGUAGAUAUAGGAAGGAACACCAGUGGCGAAGGCGACCACCUGGACUAAUACUGACACUGAGGUGCGAAAGCGUGGGGAGCAAACAGGAUUAGAUACCCUGGUAGUCCACGCCGUAAACGAUGUCAACUAGCCGUUGGAAGCCUUGAGCUUUUAGUGGCGCAG
RNAcentral lists this ribosomal RNA (800 nucleotides) under bacterium LGM42. Its description in RNAcentral is "bacterial SSU rRNA". It matches the Rfam family "Bacterial small subunit ribosomal RNA", at positions 56 to 851 of the family's 1533-position model. The record is from RNAcentral.